UGUAAAUUAGUUUGGGGAUUGUUUUCAUUCUCUUUGCACCUCUGUGUCCCACACUACCCUUGGCAAAUGGCAGCCUGGAACUUACACUGCACCCACCAGCCUCAGUUCCCUGGAGCAGUGGAGUUGAUGGUGCCUCCAGGUUUAUACCAUAAUUGACAUAGAAACUCACUGUCUCCACUGGGAGAUAUGACUUUCUAGACUUCAUCAGGUUCUAAUUUUUACUUGCCAAAGGAGGGAGGGAGGAAAUUUAGUCUCGGAGAGGAUGGCUGUCCAGCAAAGACAGCUGCUGCUGGCUACCUUUGUCUUGGAACACUUGACCUGCUGACAUGGCAGGGUGGUUGUUUGUCAACUGGAUCUCUUCUUGAGGAGUUUAUUUACAAACUGCAAAAAUUCCAUGUAGUCUUCACUUAAUUUGGUGGAUAGGAUCCAAACCAUUGUAAAGCUAAUCCAGAGGAAUGUACAGUUCUGCCCUUUUGGGUUUAUAACCAUUUUUGCUUUGGCAGGAUCUAACAUGAGCUAUCAUGGCCAUUUCCAGAUGUGAAGUCCACCAUGUUUAGACAAUCCAGUUGUCCUCCCUGCAGUGGGGCAUGGGUGGAGUAGAGUCCUCAGUCUUCAUUUAACCACAGCUCUCAAAGUGUGGUCCCUGGACCAGCAGCUUCAGUGGCACCUGGGUACUUAUUAGAAGUGCAGACUUUUGAACCCACUCCCUCCCCUCCCAAUCUAUUAAUCCUGAAACUCUGGGGGUGGGACCCAGCACUCUGUUGUAAGAAGCUCUCCAGUAACUUAUCCAUGCUUAAGUCUGAGAACUGCUUCCUUAUCUAGUAGUCAACCUGGAUAGAUACCUUAACACAUUGUAGUCCUGCUUGUACUUUUACUUUUCUUUUUUUUAACCCCCAAGGUUUUAUCUGUAUUCAGCCCUCUAUUCUCCACGUGUACCUUUUGAAUCAAGUCCGUAUUCCUGGCCAAGGUCAGAUGUGCUGCCUUUGUGAGGCCUUGACUGACCCCCUUCCUCCAGCAAGUUUGCUUGAGCUCUUGAAUUUUCUCUCUCUGACCUCUGUUGCAUGUGGUCCCCACAUUAGUAGCACUGGGCUCUUGUUAGAAACAUAAAAUCCUGGCCCUGUGCCAGCUCUGUAGGUAGUUUCUAUCCACUUUUAAGGUUAGGAAGCACUGAUGAAACCACUCUGAUUGUGUUAAAAUUAGUGAGUUUUUUAUGGAUUACAUUUUUAAUAAUAUUCAUUAG
Long non-coding RNA from Sapajus apella (tufted capuchin), 1240 nucleotides. RefSeq lists it as uncharacterized. The record is from RefSeq and is a predicted model, not a curated record. NCBI's taxonomy places the organism in Eukaryota, Metazoa, Chordata, Mammalia, Primates, Cebidae. The transcript has 3 exons.